GGGGAAUAUUGGACAAUGGGCGCAAGCCUGAUCCAGCAAUGCCGCGUGUGUGAAGAAGGCCUUCGGGUUGUAAAGCACUUUUAUCAGGAGCGAAAUACGAUGGGCUAAUACCCCGUCGGGCUGACGGUACCUGAGGAAUAAGCACCGGCUAACUUCGUGCCAGCAGCCGCGGUAAUACGAAGGGUGCAAGCGUUAAUCGGAAUUACUGGGCGUAAAGCGUGCGUAGGCGGUGAUUUAAGUCUGCUGUGAAAUCCCCGGGCUCAACCUGGGAAUGGCAGUGGAUACUGGAUCGCUAGAGUGUGAUAGAGGAUGGUGGAAUUCCCGGUGUAGCGGUGAAAUGCGUAGAGAUCGGGAGGAACAUCAGUGGCGAAGGCGGCCAUCUGGAUCAACACUGACGCUGAGGCACGAAAGCGUGGGGAGCAAAC
This 425-nucleotide ribosomal RNA is filed under the name uncultured bacterium. RNAcentral describes it as "bacterial SSU rRNA". It matches the Rfam family "Bacterial small subunit ribosomal RNA", at positions 356 to 773 of the family's 1533-position model. The record is from RNAcentral.